Molecule: ribosomal RNA, 479 nt
Filed under: Candidozyma auris
Lineage: Eukaryota; Fungi; Ascomycota; Pichiomycetes; Serinales; Metschnikowiaceae
Description: [Candida] auris partial large subunit ribosomal RNA
Rfam family: Eukaryotic large subunit ribosomal RNA
Source: RNAcentral
UAGCGGCGAGUGAAGCGGCAAUAGCUCAAAUUUGAAAUCUGCCAACAGGCCGAGUUGUAAUUUGAAGAAAGCAAUUCUGGGUGUGUCUUUGCUCAAGUUCCUUGGAAUAGGACAUCAUGGAGGGUGAGAAUCCCGUGAUGCGAAGGUAGCACACCUGUGUAGAAUGUUUUCGACGAGUCGAGUUGUUUGGGAAUGCAGCUCAAAGUGGGUGGUAAAUUCCAUCUAAAGCUAAAUAUUGGCGAGAGACCGAUAGCGAACAAGUACUGUGAAGGAAAGAUGAAAAGAACUUUGAAAAGAGAGUGAAAAAGUACGUGAAAUUGUUGAAAUGGAAGGGCUUGAGAUUAGACAUGGUGUUUAGUGUUCCACUUUCUUUUGGGAAUGUGUACUCGCUUUUCACCGGGCCAGCAUCAGUUUUGAUGGAAGGAUAAAUAGUAUUGAAUGUGGCUGCUUGCAGUGUUAUAGCUUUACUAAAUACUUCC